Molecule: ribosomal RNA, 525 nt
Filed under: Tenacibaculum mesophilum
Lineage: Bacteria; Pseudomonadati; Bacteroidota; Flavobacteriia; Flavobacteriales; Flavobacteriaceae
Description: bacterial SSU rRNA
Rfam family: Bacterial small subunit ribosomal RNA
Source: RNAcentral
UUGAUCCUGGCUCAGGAUGAACGCUAGCGGCAGGCUUAACACAUGCAAGUCGAGGGGCAGCGAAUCUAGCUUGCUAGAUGUCGGCGACCGGCGAACGGGUGCGUAACGCGUAUAGAAUCUGCCUUGUACAGGAGGAUAGCCUUUAGAAAUGAAGAUUAAUACUCCAUAAUGUUUAGAGAUGGCAUCAUUUUUAAAUUAAAGAUUUAUUGGUACAAGAUGACUAUGCGUCCUAUUAGCUAGAUGGUAAGGUAACGGCUUACCAUGGCAACGAUAGGUAGGGGGUCUGAGAGGAUUAUCCCCCACACUGGUACUGAGACACGGACCAGACUCCUACGGGAGGCAGCAGUGAGGAAUAUUGGUCAAUGGAGGCAACUCUGAACCAGCCAUGCCGCGUGCAGGAAGACUGCCCUAUGGGUUGUAAACUGCUUUUAUACAGGAAGAAACAGAACUACGUGUAGUUCCUUGACGGUACUGUAAGAAUAAGCACCGGCUAACUCCGUGCCAGCAGCCGCGGUAAUACGGAGG